GAAAAUCAAGGCUGAGGCGUGAUGACGAGGCACUACGGUGCUGAAGCAACAAAUGCCCUGCUUCCAGGAAAAGCCUCUAAGCAUCAGGUAACAUCAAAUCGUACCCCAAACCGACACAGGUGGUCAGGUAGAGAAUACCAAGGCGCUUGAGAGAACUCGGGUGAAGGAACUAGGCAAAAUGGUGCCGUAACUUCGGGAGAAGGCACGCUGAUAUGUAGGUGAAGCGACUUGCUCGUGGAGCUGAAAUCAGUCGAAGAUACCAGCUGGCUGCAACUGUUUAUUAAAAACACAGCACUGUGCAAACACGAAAGUGGACGUAUACGGUGUGACGCCUCCCCGGUGCCGGAAGGUUAAUUGAUGGGGUUAGCGCAAGCGAAGCUCUUGAUCGAAGCCCCGGUAAACGGCGGCCGUAACAAUAACGGUCCUAAGGUAGCGAAAUUCCUUGUCGGGUAAGUUCCGACCUGCACGAAUGGCGUAAUGAUGGCCAGGCUGUCUCCACCCGAGACUCAGUGAAAUUGAACUCGCUGUGAAGAUGCAGUGUACCCGCGGCAAGACGGAAAGACCCCGUGAACCUUUACUAUAGCUUGACACUGAACAUUGAGCCUUGAUGUGUAGGAUAGGUGGGAGGCUUUGAAGUGUGGACGCCAGUCUGCAUGGAGCCGACCUUGAAAUACCACCCUUUAAUGUUUGAUGUUCUAACGUUGACCCGUAAUCCGGGUUGCGGACAGUGUCUGGUGGGUAGUUUGACUGGGGCGGUCUCCUCCUAAAGAGUAACGGAGGAGCACGAAGGUUGGCUAAUCCUGGUCGGACAUCAGGAGGUUAGUGCAAUGGCAUAAGCCAGCUUGACUGCGAGCGUGACGGCGCGAGCAGGUGCGAAAGCAGGUCAUAGUGAUCCGGUGGUUCUGAAUGGAAGGGCCAUCGCUCAACGGAUAAAAGGUACUCCGGGGAUAACAGGCUGAUACCGCCCAAGAGUUCAUAUCGACGGCGGUGUUUGGCACCUCGAUGUCGGCUCAUCACAUCCUGGGGCUGAAGUAGGUCCCAAGGGUAUGGCUGUUCGCCAUUUAAAGUGGUACGCGAGCUGGGUUUAGAACGUCGUGAGACAGUUCGGUCCCUAUCUGCCGUGGGCGCUGGAGAACUGAGGGGGGCUGCUCCUAGUACGAGAGGACCGGAGUGGACGCAUCACUGGUGUUCGGGUUGUCAUGCCAAUGGCACUGCCCGGUAGCUAAAUGCGGAAGAGAUAAGUGCUGAAAGCAUCUAAGCACGAAACUUGCCCCGAGAUGAGUUCUCCCUGACUCCUUGAGAGUCCUGAAGGAACGUUGAAGACGACGACGUUGAUAGGCCGGGUGUGUAAGCGCAGCGAUGCGUUGAGCUAACCGGUACUAAUGAACCGUGAGGCUUAACCUG
This 1404-nucleotide ribosomal RNA is filed under the name metagenome. Its description in RNAcentral is "bacterial LSU rRNA". It matches the Rfam family "Bacterial large subunit ribosomal RNA", at positions 1536 to 2925 of the family's 2925-position model. The record is from RNAcentral.